ACGAACGCUGGCGGCGUGCUUAACACAUGCAAGUCGAACGGUGAAGGGAUCAGCUUGCUGGUUCUGGAUGAGUGGCGAACGGGUGAGUAACACGUGAGUAACCUGCCCCCUUCUUCUGGAUAACCGCAUGAAAGUGUGGCUAAUACGGGAUAUUCUGCGCCUGCUGCAUGGUGGGUGUGGGAAAGAUAUUGUUUCGGUGGGGGAUGGGCUCGCGGCCUAUCAGCUUGUUGGUGGGGUGAUGGCCUACCAAGGCGGUGACGGGUAGCCGGCCUGAGAGGGUGGACGGUCACACUGGGACUGAGACACGGCCCAGACUCCUACGGGAGGCAGCAGUGGGGAAUAGUGCACAAUGGGCGCAAGCCUGAUGCAGCGACGCCGCGUGAGGGAUGGAGGCCUUCGGGUUGUGAACCUCUUUCGCCAGUGAAGCAGGCCUGUCCCUUGUGGGUGGGUUGACGGUAGCUGGAUAAGAAGCGCCGGCUAACUACGUG
RNAcentral lists this ribosomal RNA (488 nucleotides) under uncultured bacterium. RNAcentral's name for it is "partial 16S ribosomal RNA". It matches the Rfam family "Bacterial small subunit ribosomal RNA", at positions 29 to 507 of the family's 1533-position model. The record is from RNAcentral.